GAUGAAGAACGCAGCGAAAUGCGAUAAGUAAUGUGAAUUGCAGAAUUCAGUGAAUCAUCGAAUCUUUGAACGCACAUUGCGCCCGCGAGUAUUCUCGCGGGCAUGCCUGUCCGAGCGUCAUUUCAACCCUCAGGGCCCGCCUGCUUGCAGGCGCGGCGCUGGUGUUGGGGAUCGGCUACCCUGCCGUCCCCCAAAUACAGUGGCGGUCUCGCUGCAGCCUCCCCUGCGUAGUAGCAACACUCGCAUGCGGAGCGCGGCGCGGCCACGCCGUAAAACCCCCGACUUUCUGAACGUUGACCUCGGAUCAGGUAGGAAUACCCGCUGAACUUAAGCAUAUCAAUAAGAGGAGGA
RNAcentral lists this unclassified non-coding RNA (351 nucleotides) under soil metagenome. RNAcentral describes it as "partial contains 5.8S ribosomal RNA, internal transcribed spacer 2, and large subunit ribosomal RNA". The stretch from base 1 to 120 matches the Rfam family "5.8S ribosomal RNA", at positions 35 to 154 of the family's 154-position model. The record is from RNAcentral.